CGUAGGGCGCAAGCGUUGUCCGGAAUUAUUGAGCGUAAAGAGCUCGUAGGCGGCUUGUCACGUCGGGUGUGAAAGACCGGGGCUUAACCCCGGUUCUGCAUUCGAUACGGGCUGGCUAGAGUGUGGUAGGGGAGAUCGGAAUUCCUGGUGUAGCGGUGAAAUGCGCAGAUAUCAGGAGGAACACCGGUGGCGAAGGCGGAUCUCUGGGCCAUUACUGACGCUGAGGAGCGAAAGCGUGGGGAGCGAACAGGAUUAGAUACCCUGGUAGUCCACGCCGUAAACGGUGGGAACUAGGUGUUGGCGACAUUCCACGUCGUCGGUGCCGCAGCUAACGCAUUAAGUUCCCCGCCUGGGGAGUACGGCCGCAAGGCUA
This 373-nucleotide ribosomal RNA is filed under the name uncultured organism. RNAcentral describes it as "bacterial SSU rRNA". It matches the Rfam family "Bacterial small subunit ribosomal RNA", at positions 526 to 896 of the family's 1533-position model. The record is from RNAcentral.